Long non-coding RNA from Diceros bicornis minor, 1841 nucleotides. RefSeq lists it as uncharacterized. The record is from RefSeq and is a predicted model, not a curated record. The transcript is spliced from 6 exons. NCBI's taxonomy places the organism in Eukaryota, Metazoa, Chordata, Mammalia, Perissodactyla, Rhinocerotidae.
UAAGCCCACUGGAUUGGGAAUCAGAAUUUCCAUAUUCUAGCUUUUUUUGCCACUGGUUAAUGUUACGGAAAUUGCUUUAUCUCACUGGAUGCAAAAUUCCUUAUGUAUAAAAUCAGGCUUUUGGAAUAGGCAUCAUGUCCUGAAUCUAAGGGCAUGCAUCUAACUUCAUCAUCCAUCAGUUGAAAUAGAAAUAAAUGGAAAAAUUACAGGGCACAUCAUGAUUUAACGGCAAGAAGGACAAGAAUGAGCAAUGCGAAAACUGCAGGGACCCACAGCAGGCUCUGCCCAGUGCUUCUACUCACCAGUCAAGAAUCUGCUUGAGCAUGCAGACGCUGCACUUGAAAGACUUGUUUUCAAAAUCCGGCUCUGACAUCUAAAGAAGCCUAGAGGGAGGUGGCAGCAACAGUCCUUGCUUUUUCAACAACAAAGAGAAGAGACAAUUUUCCGGGAUCUUUCUGCCUCGAAGACACUUACUUUCCCUUCCUGACUUGCUAACUCCUGCUCAUGUGCCAGGUCUUGGUUUGGAGGUCACCCCUUUUGGAAGCCAUCCCAGUUCUCUAAGACGUUUUUUAUUUUUUUGGAUGCCACUCAAUUUACCCUAACAUGACCACAUCUGUCUCCUGCCCCAGCACCCAUAACUGAAUUGCUCUGGUCGAUGCAGAUGACUACACCUGGAGCUGGUCUUGCUCAGGCUGCUCUUUGCCUAUCCUGAGGCCCCUUGCUGAACCUGAGGGCUCCACGAAGCAUGGUUUGAAAACCAAAGUGCUAGACCCUGCUCCGCAAUGGAAAACCUACAGAUAUAGAAGGCGAGUGGAGACCUUAUGUAGCCUUCACAAAAUUGCCAGACCUGGAGUGACACAGUGGGUCCCAGGGGUCAAAAAGCGGAAAGGACCAACGAGGAGCCCUCAGCCUUGGGCAGGAGCGUAUAUGUGGUCCAGAGCAAGGAAAGAGCCGAAGGAGACUGACCCCAAUUCCAGGGGCACAUGGAAAUGGUGUGAAGAUGACCAAGAGGGGUGAGAACCAGGAGAAUGCAAAGGGUCCUAACGCAGGAGCCAUAGCACUGGUGCUGAGUGGAAGUCCAAUGAAUGAGAAUUGAAAGCCAGCAAAUGUUCAGCUCAUCUUCAGAAGAGCUUGACUACAGAGAAGUCCACAUUCUCAGGAGACAGUAGCUUUGGAUGACAAUGUGACUCCCCAGAAGUGUGUGUGUGUGUCAGUGUUACAAAGUAAGUUGACACGUUGAAGCUGCACACACUUGGUGUCCAUAGACUUACUAUGAGACUUUCAGGAGAAGGUGAUUUGGAAGAAGUAACAGAAGUGACGUAAUUCAAGUACGAAGAAUCGUACUGAGCUUCAUCUGAAGUCACCUAUGCCAGCGUUCUGCACCUCACUUGAUCCUGCUAUUGCAGAAAGUCCAGGUCCUCCACAGCCCCAACUCCCCCAAGACUCCCAGGUUAUUUCAGAGAGUCUCUAAGAGUUUCAUGUUUUCCUAUGUCCCCUCAGCUGCCACAUGGCACUGACACUUUUCAUUCCCUCCUGUUAAACAGUCACUUUCAUUGAUGUAGCCCGUGAAGGCCUGCAGCUACUUCCAUCUGAAGGGCAUGAUUAUAGACUGUGCUGCUACUGCACUGAGGCCACUCAGCUGAGAGUCAGCACACCCUGCUGCUGCCUCGCGCCACACCACGUGCAAACACACAUGCACACAGACACACACAGACACACACAAUCACAUGCCUUUGGUCUACCUUCUGUCACAGUCCCUUUCCGAGAAUUCUGCCAUGUAUUCAUUUCCGGUCUACACUUUAUUUUUUGCAUAAAAUUUACCUUAUUAUUCUUUUUUUGUG